RNAcentral lists this ribosomal RNA (1266 nucleotides) under uncultured bacterium. RNAcentral describes it as "partial 16S ribosomal RNA". It matches the Rfam family "Bacterial small subunit ribosomal RNA", at positions 210 to 1533 of the family's 1533-position model. The record is from RNAcentral.
GACCCCCGAAAAGGGAAUGUAUGCGCGCUCAUUAGCUAUGUGGCGGUCAAGGGCCUUGCCAGGCGACGAGUGGCCUAGUUCGAGGGAAGUCCCCACAUGUACUGAAAUGACCACCCUACGGAGCAGCAGUGAGGAUAUGUCAUGGCGGGAGCUGACAGCAGUCGCGUGAGGAGGAGUCUACGAUGUAAACUCUUAGCCGGGAGCACGUGCGCCACGCGUGCGCAGUGAGAGUACCCGAGAUAGCAUCGGCUAACUCCGUGCCAGCAGCCGCGGUAAUACGGAGGAUGCGAGCGCUAUCCGGGAUUUAUUGGGUUUAAAGGGUGCGCAGGCGGCGCGAAAAGUCAGCGGUCAAAGUUCCGGGCUCAACCCGGUGACGCCGUUGAAACUUUCGUGCUGGAGUUCGUGCGAGGGAGGCGGAAUGCGUUGUGUAGCGGUGAAAUGCAUAGAUAUGACGCAGAACCCCGAUUGCGAAGGCAGCUUUCCAGCACGCGACUGACGCUGAGGCACGAAAGCGUGGGGAGCGAACAGGAUUAGAUACCCUGGUAGUCCACGCGGUAAACGAUGAAUACUAGCCCUGCGGCGCGAAUGAGUGCUGCGGGGCAGAGUGAAAACGUUAAGUAUUCCACCUGGGGAGUACGCCGGCAACGGUGAAACUCAAAGGAAUUGACGGGGGCCCGCACAAGCGGAGGAACAUGUGGUUUAAUUCGAUGAUACGCGAGGAACCUUACCCGGGCUCAAACGGCGGGAGACGCGUCCGGAAACGGGCGUUCCCUUCGGGGCUGCCGCCGAGGUGCUGCAUGGUUGUCGUCAGCUCGUGCCGUGAGGUGUCGGCUUAAGUGCCAUAACGAGCGCAACCCCCAUCUUCAGUUGCCAGCGGGCAAAGCCGGGCACUCUGGAGAGACUGCCAGCGCAAGCUGUGAGGAAGGCGGGGAUGACGUCAAAUCAGCACGGCCCUUACGUCCGGGGCGACACACGUGUUACAAUGGCAGGGUCACAGAGGGAAGCCAGGCGGCGACGCCGAGCCGAUCCCGAAAACCUGUCUCAGUUCGGAUCGGAGUCUGCAACCCGACUCCGUGAAGCUGGAUUCGCUAGUAAUCGCGCAUCAGCCAUGGCGCGGUGAAUACGUUCCCGGGCCUUGUACACACCGCCCGUCAAGCCAUGGAAGCCUGGAGUGCCUGAAGUUCGUGACCGCGAGGAGCGACCAAGGGUAAGACAGGUAACUGGGGCUAAGUCGUAACAAGGUAAAUCACUGGCCGUCGACCUCUU